Molecule: long non-coding RNA, 835 nt
Filed under: Citrus x clementina
Lineage: Eukaryota; Viridiplantae; Streptophyta; Magnoliopsida; Sapindales; Rutaceae
Description: Citrus clementina (C. clementina) long non-coding RNA (CCLE_LNC004751)
Source: RNAcentral
UUCGUCCAGCGGAAAAAGGCCACAAAAACGGGUGGGCUAUAGCCUUGGGGGGUGGGGCUGGCCUACUUCGUCCGCCGGACUCGGAAUGCCGCGAGACUUUGUGAGGGGCCUCCGUGUGCCAAAAAUAGGCCGCGGGCAAAGCCGCGCCCAAAAAUAACCGCCCGAAGGCCGGGGCGCCAAGUUCGUCCAGCGGAAAAAGGCCACAAAAACGGGUGGGCUAUAGCCUUGGGGGGUGGGGCUGGCCAUCUUCGUCCGCCGGACUCGGAAUGCCGUGAGACUUUGCGAGGGAUCUCCGUGUGCCAUAAAUAAUCCGCGGGCAAAGCCGCGCCUAAAAAUAACCACCCGAAGGCCGGGGCGCCAAGUUCGUCCAGCGGUAAAAGGCCACAAAAACGGGUGGGCUAUAGCCUUGGAGGGUGGGGCUGGCCAACUUCGUCCGCCGGACUCGGAAUGCCGCGAGACUUUGCGAGGGGCCUCCGUGUCCCAAAAAUAGGCCGCGGACGAACCCGUACCCAAAAAUAACCGCACGAAGGCCGGGUCGCCCUGUUCGUCCAGCGGAAAAAGGCCACAAAAACGGGUGGGCUAUAGCCUUGGGGGGUGGGGCAGGCCCACUUCGUCCGCCGGACUCGGAAUGGCGCGAGACUUUGCGAGGCGCCUCCGUGUGCCAAAAAUAGGCCGCGGGCACAGCCGCGCCCAAAAAUAACCGCCCGAUGGCCGGGGCGCCAAGUUCGUCCAGCGGAAAAAGCCCACAAAAACGGGUGGGCUAUAGCCUUGGGGGGUGGGGCGCGCCCACUUCGUCCGCCGGACUCGGAAUGGCGCGAGACUUUGCGAGGCGCCU